GAUGAAGAACGCAGCGAAAUGCGAUAAGUAAUGCGAAUUGCAGAAUUCAGUGAGUCAUCGAAUCUUUGAACGCACAUUGCGCCCUGUGGUAUUCCGCAGGGCAUGCCUGUUCGAGCGUCAUUUCAACCCUCAAGCUCUGCUUGGUGUUGGGCCCUGCCCGCUGCGGCCGGCCCCAAAGACAGUGGCGGUGCCGCCUGGCCCUGAGCGUAGUACAUCUCUCGCUCCAGUGCCCGGUGGUAGCCUGCCAGAACCCCAACUCUCGUGGUUGACCUCGGAUCAGGUAGGGAUACCCGCUGAACUUAAGCAUAUCAAUAAGCGGAGGA
Molecule: unclassified non-coding RNA, 323 nt
Filed under: soil metagenome
Description: partial contains 5.8S ribosomal RNA, internal transcribed spacer 2, and large subunit ribosomal RNA
Rfam family: 5.8S ribosomal RNA (bases 1-120)
Source: RNAcentral